AGGGACUUAGGAUAGCAUGUAGUCCAAGGGCCUUCAAAGUCCUAAGCGGGAGUGAAAAUCUCCCAGCCCCUG
This 72-nucleotide transfer RNA is filed under the name Psenes arafurensis (banded driftfish). RNAcentral describes it as "tRNA-Trp". It matches the Rfam family "tRNA". From Rfam's summary of the family: Transfer RNA (tRNA) molecules are approximately 80 nucleotides in length. Their secondary structure includes four short double-helical elements and three loops (D, anti-codon, and T loops). RNAcentral also lists the same sequence under 1 other name. Lineage: Eukaryota; Metazoa; Chordata; Actinopteri; Scombriformes; Nomeidae. The record is from RNAcentral.